This is a long non-coding RNA of Zonotrichia albicollis (white-throated sparrow), 1956 nucleotides long. The record is from Ensembl. Lineage: Eukaryota; Metazoa; Chordata; Aves; Passeriformes; Passerellidae.
CACAGAGAUGCCGAGGGUGGCAGGGGCAGCUGUAGGAUGACACAGAGAAGCUGGGGGCUGAGGGGCAAAGGAGAGGGGUUAAGGGUGACACAAAGGAACUGAAGGCUGGGAGGCAGAGGGACCUGUUGAGGGGUAAAGGGAGAGGCCUUGAGGGCUGGACAGUCCAGUGGAGAUCAGGGUUACUGGAUACAGCUGUACCACCCCUCACCCCAGCCCUAACCUCAGCCUAACCAGCUCCCCUAAAAACAGCCUUUUCUCCCAACAGCAGCACAACACAGCAACCCUAACAGCCAGACCAGACAGCAACCCUCACACACCAGGACAAUGACAGAACCCUCAGAGAACAACAGACCCACUGUGGGCUAGAGAGCAACAGGUAGAGUUUGGAGACUGAGCACGUCUUUUUGAGUUUUUUUUCCAGGACUUUUAAAGGUAUUUAGGGGAUUUUGGAAGGGACUUUUCUGGGACUUUUUAGGGUAUUGUUGGGGCUUUAUCAAAACCUUUAUUUUUAGGAAGUCAAGGCAGAGAGCAGCUGUCAAGGCUGAGUGGGCAAGGUGAGCAUUGAGUAGGGUACCGAAGCAGUUGUUAUUGCUGAGGUCUCAGUUUUUGGUGCAGCUCUAAGUAUGUAGUAUUCUUUUUAUUUUAGAUGGUCCGCUUGCCAUCUAUCCUAGCCCAGCAUGCCCAUGCCAGGUGGGUGCAAGCUUAAGGUAUUGGUGUGGCAUACUUGUAAGGGUUGGGAGUUGCGUUUUCACAGUAUCUCAGCAUGUUUUUCUGCUUUGUUUCUUUGCAGGUGCUGUCCCUGCCCUAGGUAUGCCAAGGAACAGAGGAGGGCAGGUACCUUCUGGGCGGCCUCCGGAGUCAAAUCAAGACUUGAGGUGAGCUGGGGCAGGGGUGCGGAGGACUCCCGGGGAUUACUCUUUUUGAGGGCAAUAGUCACAUUUUCUGUUUUGCCUUAGGUACCCUGGGGAGGCUUGUAGCCACAGCUUGGAAGCAGCAGCACCGAAGCACACACAUUGAGAACAUCUCAACGUCCGCGUCCAACCAACGAUGGCUUUUGUCCGCUCGUCUUCCAAAAGCUAAGUGUCGGGGCCAGUGGUUGGGAAAAGGGGAAAAGCCUUUACUCUCACAGGAGGCAAUCUGAUGUCAGGCUUAGCGGAGAGGUCUGUAGUGGGACGGGCUCUCUGGAAGUAAAGGGAGAGGGUUUUUCCUCAGCCUCACAAGAGCCUUUGCCAGGCAGGACAGUUCCGACCCAUCUCCACAUUCUUGUGAACUUUGCGCCAUCAGCCUUCCUCGACUCGACAUUGUCACGGCUCUUUCCCCCAAGGAGCUCGCCUUCGGGUCCGGAGCUAUAGCCACGGUCACCCGGCCGUCUGCUUCCUUCUCUAGGCUUGCUGAGCCUCUCGAGCAUCCUCCUAACUGCUUUGGCCCUAACUUCCUUUAAUGAGCUACAUUUCAUCAUCAUGUGCUGUCGUCGUAGGGCUUCCUUUCCCUUGGCCUCAUCGGCCUCUGGCUCAUCUUGCGCUAGGACUCUCGGGUCCCUAAGGGGAAAGUGCCAAGCAGUUGCAACUUGUGUCUGGGUUAUGUCAUCUGUGUCUAUGUUAUGGUGUCCGUGUCUGUGUUAUGUAGUCUGUGUCCAGUGUCUUCCAAGUCGUAGGCCUUUGCUACGUCUCGAUGCUUUAUCGGCACUCUUCUGUGCCAUAUAGGCCGUGUUCUACUCACAUUCCUUUCCGGAUAUCCCUUAUUCGGGCAUCUUUACAUUUUUACUCUUUCAGACAAGAAUGUCUGACUGGGACAAGAUGUUCUCAUCCAUCUUCCUUCUCAUUACCAGCUUUGGUAGUGCCUUUUUUCCAUUUUCUUGGAGUUCUAGAGGGAGUGUCUUACACCCUUCUCACAUGACUGCAGUAGUUCUAUAGAUUCCAUCUUCUCAAAGGGUAUAGGGCUCAAGAAUUCAUCUUU